This 440-nucleotide ribosomal RNA is filed under the name uncultured bacterium. RNAcentral describes it as "bacterial SSU rRNA". It matches the Rfam family "Bacterial small subunit ribosomal RNA", at positions 958 to 1398 of the family's 1533-position model. The record is from RNAcentral.
AACGCGAAGAACCUUACCUGGGCUCGAAAUGGAGUGGACCGGGGUAGAAAUAUCCCUUCCCCGCAAGGGGCCGCUUUAUAGGUGCUGCAUGGCUGUCGUCAGCUCGUGUCGUGAGAUGUUGGGUUAAGUCCCGCAACGAGCGCAACCCUUAUCCCCAGUUGCCAUCAUUUAGUUGGGCACUCUGGUGAAACCGCCUCGGAUAACGGGGAGGAAGGUGGGGAUGACGUCAAGUCCUCAUGGCCUUUAUGUCCAGGGCUACACACGUGCUACAAUGGCCGGUACAAACCGUCGCAAACCCGCGAGGGGGAGCUAAUCGGAAAAAGCCGGCCUCAGUUCGGAUUGCAGUCUGCAACUCGACUGCAUGAAGCUGGAAUCGCUAGUAAUCGCGGAUCAGAACGCCGCGGUGAAUACGUUCCCGGGCCUUGUACACACCGCUAGUC